UACGGAGGGUGCAAGCGUUAAUCGGAAUUACUGGGCGUAAAGCGCACGCAGGCGGUCUGUCAAGUCGGAUGUGAAAUCCCCGGGCUCAACCUGGGAACUGCAUCCGAAACUGGCAGGCUAGAGUCUUGUAGAGGUGGGUAGAAUUCCAGGUGUAGCGGUGAAAUGCGUAGAGAUCUGGAGGAAUACCGGUGGCGAAGGCGGCCCCCUGGACAAAGACUGACGCUCAGGUGCGAAAGCGUGGGGAGCAAACAGGAUUAGAUACCCUGGUAGUCCACGCCGUAAACGAUGUCGACUUGGAGGUGGUGGCCUUGAGGCGUGGGUUCCGGAGCGAACGCGUUAAGUCGACCGCCUGGGGAGUACGGCCGCAAGGUUAAA
Molecule: ribosomal RNA, 375 nt
Filed under: uncultured bacterium
Lineage: Bacteria
Description: bacterial SSU rRNA
Rfam family: Bacterial small subunit ribosomal RNA
Source: RNAcentral